This 590-nucleotide ribosomal RNA is filed under the name uncultured bacterium. RNAcentral describes it as "bacterial SSU rRNA". It matches the Rfam family "Bacterial small subunit ribosomal RNA", at positions 338 to 960 of the family's 1533-position model. The record is from RNAcentral.
CCUACGGGAGGCAGCAGUGGGGAAUCUUGCACAAUGGAGGAAACUCUGAUGCAGCGAUGCCGCGUGAGUGAAGAAGGCCUUUGGGUUGUAAAGCUCUUUUGUAGGGGAAGAUAAUGACUGUACCCUAAGAAUAAGGUCCGGCUAACUUCGUGCCAGCAGCCGCGGUAAUACGAAGGGACCUAGCGUAGUUCGGAAUUACUGGGCGUAAAGCGCGCGUAGGCCGUUGAGUUAGUUAAUUGUGAAAUCCCAAAGCUUAACUUUGGAACUGCAAUUAAAACUGCUCGACUAGAGUUUGAUAGAGGAAAGCGGAAUACAUAGUGUAGAGGUGAAAUUCGUAGAUAUUAUGUAGAACACCAGUUGCGAAGGCGGCUUUCUGGAUCAACACUGACGCUGAGGCGCGAAAGUAUGGGUAGCAAAGAGGAUUAGAUACCCUCGUAGUCCAUACCAUAAACGAUGAUUGCUAGAUGUUGGAAAUUUAUUUUCAGUAUCGCAGCUAACGCAUUAAGCAAUCCGCCUGGGGAUACGACCGCAAGGUUAAAACUCAAAAGUGUAUACGCGNGNGAGAGCGACGACGACGACGACGAGGAGAG